UAGGGAAUCUUCCACAAUGGACGCAAGUCUGAUGGAGCAACGCCGCGUGUGUGAUGAAGGGUUUCGGCUCGUAAAACACUGUUGUAAGAGAAGAAUGACAUUGAGAGUAACUGUUCAAUGUGUGACGGUAUCUUACCAGAAAGGAACGGCUAAAUGCGUGCCAG
RNAcentral lists this ribosomal RNA (164 nucleotides) under uncultured bacterium. RNAcentral's name for it is "partial 16S rRNA". It matches the Rfam family "Bacterial small subunit ribosomal RNA", at positions 355 to 511 of the family's 1533-position model. The record is from RNAcentral.